UACGUAGGGUGCAGGCGUUAAUCGGAAUUACUGGGCGUAAAGCGUGCGCAGGCGGUCUUUUAAGUCAGAUGUGAAAUCCCCGGGCUUAACCUGGGAACUGCGUUUGAAACUGGAAGGCUUAAGUGUGGCAGAGGGGGGUGGAAUUCCACGUGUAGCAGUGAAAUGCGUAGAGAUGUGGAGGAACACCGAUGGCGAAGGCAGCCCCCUGGGCUAACACUGACACUCAUGCACGAAAGCGUGGGGAGCAAACAGG
Molecule: ribosomal RNA, 253 nt
Filed under: uncultured bacterium
Lineage: Bacteria
Description: partial 16S ribosomal RNA
Rfam family: Bacterial small subunit ribosomal RNA
Source: RNAcentral